AGCCCGAUGAACCUGAAUAUCCAUUAUGAAAAAUUCAUCAUUAUAACUUUUAAUAUUAAAAUUUUUUUUGAUAUUAUUUGUGAUGGUGUGCAUUUUUUUCAUAUAAAAGGACAUUGUGAUCUAUUAACAUAAAUGAAAUUUAUCAUAAGAUUGUUGGCUCGAGUUUGUUUUGAUUGAUUUGCUUUAUAGCUUAUUAACAUAAAAUAAAUGCUAGCGAUUUGAUAAAGUGUUAAUAGGUUUAUGUUGUGUAAUGCUUAAAUUAUUGUUGAUUUUACAAUAUAUGAAACUUGAAUUAUAUAUUGUAUGCAUUUACAUGAUU
Molecule: ribosomal RNA, 319 nt
Filed under: Ichneumonosoma triangularis
Lineage: Eukaryota; Metazoa; Arthropoda; Insecta; Diptera; Tephritidae
Description: partial 28S ribosomal RNA
Source: RNAcentral